GCAUUUCAGUCAAGUCUGACCUAAACUGAUGGGAAAAGAAAUUGCAGGUCCUGAUAAUGAAGAUAUGAGGUGAUGAAAACUGGAUGAAAAUUUUAGUAGACUGCACGGGAAGUCUGAAUGAUUUAAAAAUUGUAGAGGAAAGUACAUCACAACUUAGGUAAUAUUCUUGUAUUCUAGCCAAGAGAAAAAAGGGAAAUGGCCAAAAAGUCUCACCACUCUUGAAAUUACAUAGCAAAAUCAUGUCAAAAACACUGGAGAUUGAGAGCUGUCCUGGAGAAAAACCGAUGCAUGUUUUGUUCAGGCUGAUACUGGAAUCUGUAGGAGGCUCAGAGCAGGAGGCUGAGAUGUGUGGUGGUGUGAAGGGAAGCUGGACUGAAAAAGGCAUCUGAAGAAAUCAGAUCUGAAGUCAUGGGAGCAGGAUGAAUGCCCCAGAGAGGUGGGAAAAAAAAGGAGAAAUCUGACACUGUGACCCUUUCCUCCUUUCCCAUAGAUCCUUCUUUAAUACAGAUGGGCCUGACUUUCCUCCUGGGAUUUCAGUAGAGCACAGAGCAGUGUGGCAUGUAGGUCCUGUGGCACUUCAGAGAGAUUUGCACCUCUUACUGCUGUAAAUACCCCCAAAUAUCUCAAAUUCAGUUCCAGGAUUUCUGCUGAAGGCAGCUGACCAUGUAGCCCAAUUUGAUUGUACUUCACAGAUUUACUGGUCUCAAUGGAAACCACAAACAGCUGAUCCUGGACUUAAUGCAUGGAUAGAGCAGCCUGGGGGUGCACAACGGCAUUGCUGGAGUGGGAUCUCUUUCCCUGGGCUUUCUCAUUCCUUCUCUCAUAUGUCCUGGGAAUGCUCUGCUCCUCCCAGACCCCAGGAUGACCGAAAUGCCACAAGACAAGAAAGGAUAUUUGCACUCGCCUGUGCACUGUUGCCCUCUGCUUCUCCAAACUGCAGAGGCCACCUUAGAAUAAUACUUAUAUAGGGCUAUAUAUUUUCUUAGCAUUGUACAAAUAUUAACUAAUUAAUACCCAGGACUUCUGUCGCCCAUUCUGCUAGACUCUACCAGCCUCAGGCAAGUCAUUUAACCUCUGUUUGUCUUACCUCUCCCAUCUGCUAUGUACUGUUUUUAAUUGUCCUCUGAGAAGCCAAGCAAGUUGAAUGAGAUCUCAGACAUGUAAAAAUAACUUGCAAAGGAUGAUGUGGAGUGGCCUGGAUAAACUCCUUUUGUAUCCUUUGAAAAUCCAGGCUGUAUUUUAGCAUCACCACUAUGGCUAGACUAGGCACUUGGCAGAUCUCAUUCCUAUGUGACUUCACAGGGGAAAAAAAUGAAGUUUUGGACAAGUGUACUUCAAAUCAUUGAAGGGGAGAGGGUAGAAGAGACAGUAUUUAGCAUAAGACCUAAAUACUGCAGGAGGAGGUUGCUUAACCUAUGCUAGUCUAUAAAGGAGUGGAUCCAGAGUUCUCCAUGAGAUGUUCUGGAGUUCUAUAUGAGUCAUACUGUGUGCUUCUCCAGCAGCCCUCGCUCCCUGGAACAGACAAUGAGAAAUGCAGUAAGACUCUGGGGAGCAUCCUGACAGAACCAGCCUCAGAGCAGACCAAAGUGCUUGGAUUCUAAGUUGUGCACUUAUCUUUGGCCCUAACCUAGCUCCAUCUUGGACCCCUGAGCCUGCCCUUCAUGCUUAGGAGGAGCAAAGCUGGUGGAAUGUGGGUGGUCAGUGUUGUGCUCACCUCUGUGUGAGUACAGGAUCUGAAUGGGAGUCUGAGGCUUCGCCACUGGUCAUAGAUGAGUGCGAUCAUGAGAUCAGUCUUGCACUUUGGCCCUCCUGUUCCAGAGAUGUAUUUCCCUGGACCAUAUGCACCGUGACAAAAUUGCACAUGGUCUGUGAUAGUCUAAAUCAGGUUCUCCAGGCAUAGAUUGCUGGGAGGAGAGGUGUAAUCGUGAAAUUUGGUCAACAGUGGUGAAGCUACUGGUGGAGACAUGGCAUUGACUUUGACAGGAACAUCCCUAGCUCGUGGCAGAGCAAUGUGAUUCCAAAAGCUCUUCUGAUAGGGCUGAUGGACUCUGCAAUAUCAGACAUAAGCCGCUCUUUCUCCCUUACCUUCUCUCUCCAUGGAAGACACAGCGGAUGGAAGCCCUUGUGAUGGUAAAUUGCUGUAGUAGCUCUGUGUGACUGGGGAGUUUUCCUCCAGUAAGGAUGGAUUCCCACCUGCCUGGCCCUCAAGAUUGCUUUGCACUGCUGGUCAGCAUUCACAGACUGGGAGAUCUAAUCUGUGUCAGAGGAACCCAUUAGAACGAAAUGCUCCUGCCCUUCUCAAGGCAGAAAUAUUACAAAAUGUUCCUAGCAAGUUUCGUUUGCUUCACCUGACUUUCCACUUAAAUGGAGCUUGCUUAUCACCACACUCUUAAAGAAGAGAGCUCAGGAGUCCUUUGUGCAGGCAGUGUCGCUUUCCAAAAGCUCAGCUUUUCCAAUGCUGUUAGUAAAAGGUAGGAAUAUAAAACUUUGCAGUAAAAUCCAUUUCUGACUGAAUAAAAUAUUUUUCACUGAUUUAAAUGGCCUUAGGAGGUUUUACAAGUCGUGUUUUUGAACGGAGGGAUGAACAUGUAGAACCUUGACCCAGUAAAAUGAAAGUACCUUGUGUAGAAGGUUGCAGGCUGUAUUUAGGACAUUCAGGGGCAAGCUUAUACACAAACAUUCACAAAGAUGGUUUUACUUUUCAAUGAAGAUGAAAAACUGGCCCUUUUAAUGUAGAGUCUCUAAAAUGGGUCACUGCAAGUGCAUGUGUAGCAUUGCAGGCUGUUCCUGGGCAUAAUCAAUAUGCAUGUGAGAAAAGUUCUGAAAUUGUAGCUUUCACAAUGUGGUGAAUUCUUGAAAGUAUGGGAAAUCUGUGUUUAAAUCAAGGCUGAGUUAGACUGUGUUUACAGCUGUUAAUAUAAACAAGGAAACCUAGCUACAGAGCUCACAGCAUGACUGCAACAUCAUGUUUUUGUUACACUGACUGAAAACUAUGCAUAAUAAUCAGCAGAUUAUUUGGUAUUUAAAUUCAAGUAUGGAUUCAGUUCUAAACCUCUGAAGAUGGAUAUUGAAUUAAGGCUCCUUAACUCUGUCAUCUUUUUGCAAAUACCUUAUAGAUAAUUGUUGCUUAUUUUUGCUUACAGCAAAUCUGACGUUAAAGUGGAUACAAUUAAGCAGUAAAACACUGUAAUCAAGAAUCAAACCAAAAGUUAGCUCAGCUCUGUGAAUGUGCUAAGCAGGGAAAGAGGAGGCUGACUAGGGAGGCGUGCAUUAGACACACACAUCACUAAAACAGCUUUUCUUGAAGUAUGUAACUUUCAGGGUGCCUACUGCUUUGUGCUGGGCGAAAUAAAAAAUUCAGCCAUGGAAUCUCUAUUGGGCUGAGAGGGAUUUGUUUGAAAGAUUUAUAUUCUUUUUAGACAGUGAAAUAGGCUUUAGGCUUUCAAACUGCAUGACUUCUCUAACGCUUCUAUGCAAACAUUGUUGUGGAAAAAAAUAGCUAGUGCAGCUCCAUUCCCUCUCUCCCAAACAAA
Corvus hawaiiensis (hawaiian crow) is the source of this 3533-nucleotide long non-coding RNA. RefSeq lists it as uncharacterized. The transcript is spliced from 2 exons. Lineage: Eukaryota; Metazoa; Chordata; Aves; Passeriformes; Corvidae. The record is from RefSeq and is a predicted model, not a curated record.